Aedes albopictus (Asian tiger mosquito) is the source of this 68-nucleotide non-coding RNA. The record is from Rfam. NCBI's taxonomy places the organism in Eukaryota, Metazoa, Arthropoda, Insecta, Diptera, Culicidae.
UGCCCAGCAACUCCUAUCCCUACUUCCACGCGGUACCGGCCGGAAACUAUGAGUAACCUUAGGGAAGA